GUCGUUCCGCUUCGCCGCCUGCGCCAAGCUGCCGCCGAGUUCUUUUUUUUUUGAAUGGGCUAACCCCCUUUCCAUUGCAAAGAACGGAAAUACAAAUAGUUCAAGAAACAUUGAGAAGAAAAGAGAGGUAGCGAGUUCAACACACUGCUAGAAAACCCACCGCAUUCGCCCGUCAUCGAACAAAUGCUAUGGGGCCUGACAGCACCAAAAUGAACUAGCCUAUUACAAGCCGAGAACAACGGGGCACAAACCCAGAAACAGCUGGGGUAUGAGAUGAAAAUAGUUCGGGCAACAAAGGCCCUGGCAUGGUUAUCAGUACCAGGAGACCCUGUUGGGCUGUGUUUGUUUGUGUGUGUGUGCUAUGGCCCAAAGGGCCCAUACCUGUAGCAUAUAUAUGUAUGUAUAGCAGCUGAGUAAGAGAAUAGAGAUUCUAGUGUUUUCCCCAACCCACUGUCUUCAUGGUGUCAGAGCCCAGGCGAUGGCGACCGAGAUCUAGCUGCUGCCGGUGAAGUGGUGAUGCAGCGGUGACGUCAGGCUGCAUAGGAGGUUUUUGGGUAGUUUGUGGUGGUGCAGAACACCGGAGCCCAACUGUGGGUGUUGCGGCGGCGGGAUUGGCGGACGGUGAGACGGGGAGCAGAUUGUGGAGGUCGUUGGUGGUAAUCGGCGGCGUGCAGCGGAGCUCCGACAUCAGCCGACAAGCGUGCAGCCAGAGAAUAAGCUCCAGGCACGGGCAGCAGUACCAGGCGGAGGAAUACUACUGCCCAGGCAGAGGCGCUGUGCAGUUGCGGAGGCCACGGCCUGCUGCGCGCGUGCGUACAACCACUUGCAGGCCUGCGGUGCUGGGAUGUGGUGGUGAAGGCAGGAAGCUGGGUGAGAUCCCCUUCAGUUGUGGCGGCUAGUAGGUUGCAAGGGAGGUGCCUGGUGCGUGCUGUGUGUGGGAGCAGAGGAAAGGGGAUCUGGCGAGGUAGUUAAGAGGAAGAUUACUUGUUGCUUCAGCAAGUAGAGAAGAGAAGAGGAACAGCUCUGCUUGUUGCAGUGCUUGAGAAGUGAGUUCAUUACUGAACCAUGGGGGAGAAUCAGGGGAUUCAACAAGUUCUUGAAAAUUUGGCUCAACUUAUCACUGCAAAGGCAAGGGAUGCAUCAUCUAGCAAUGCAAAUCAUGCCAUGUACCGAGCCGACACAGAAAAUUGAGUUGAUGCCAAAUGACAUCAAAUUGAAGGGUAUCAAGAAUUAUUUGAGCUGGUCGAGGAGGGCAUUGCUGAUUUUGAAGACAAAGGGACUUGAGAACAUUGUUGAGGAGGAAUCAACUGAGCCAGCAGAUAAGACAAGUGCGGAGUGGAGGACAUGGAGUACUACCAACUCAUUGGUGGUGGCAUGGUUGUUAAAUUCUUUGUCAUCGAGCAUUGCUGCAACUGUUGAAACCAUCUCAAGUGCAUCUGAGGUGUGGAAGACUUUAUCGAAACUCUGGAAAAGGAAAUGUGAUGCUGAUGGUUGAGACACAAGAGAGAGUUAGUGAUCUGAGGCAGGGGGUACUCUGUAAUGGAGUAUGUUGCUGAGUUGCAGCGAUUAUGGGCUGACUUAGAUCACUAUGACCCUCUCGAGUUGCCACAUGCAGAUUGCAUACCUAGUGUUAAGAAGUAGAUUGAACGCAGGAGGGUGAUAGAAUUCCUUAAGGGUUUGUAUUCAGAAUUUGAAGGGAGACGAGCUACUAUGUUCCACCAACCCACUCUUCCCAAUCUGGAGGAAGCUAUAGCAACAAUUUCACAAGAGGAGAUCAGCUGAAAGUGAUGAAGAACAAUGUAGCAACUCCAUCACGUUCUGCCUUCAUAGUAACCAGAAACAAUGAGACCAGAGAUUGUUUCAACUGUGGUGAGACGGACUUGAGUCGUAAUUGUCAUGCCCCGCGCAGGCCAACCCGUGGAAGGGGUAGAGGAUAUGACCGAGGUGGACCAAGAGGAGGUAGGGGUCGAGGAUAUAGGAUUGGUCACAAAGCAAAUGUGGUGAUACAAGAAGAGAUAUCCCAUGGCAAAGUUGAAGUCUCUGUAAAAGAGUUAGAAGAGUUGAGGAAAUUGAAAAAGAAGAUGGAGAGUACUACGGGUGAUAAAGUCCAAAGGGACUCCACAUUUGGUGAUUUUGCUCACUUUGCCUAUGCUAAUGAAGGAGAGGGAGACAGGGAGGAAGCUUGGGACCGGAACCAGGCGUAAUGGGCUAUGGUACAUGGAUCGUGAGGUGCCAAACAAUGUAGUGUCUACGGUGUUAGCAGUAAUGAUGGGCGAGAAAGAAGCUACGGUGAUGCUUCUGCAUUGUAGAAUGGGGCACAUGUCUUUUGAUAAAAUGAGCAAGGUCUUUCUUGAUGUAAUGUGUGGAGUGGAUAAGAACAAGCUUUUGUGUGAUGCUUGUGAGUUUGGCAAACACACAAGGACAUCUUAUGUGAGUAGAGGGAUUAGGAGUAUAUCUCCUUUUGUACUUGUUCAUUCUGAUGUGUGGACAUGUCCUGUUAUCUCUCUUAGUGGAAUGAAGUAUUUUGUUACAUUUAUUGA
Molecule: long non-coding RNA, 2540 nt
Organism: Aegilops tauschii subsp. strangulata
Lineage: Eukaryota; Viridiplantae; Streptophyta; Magnoliopsida; Poales; Poaceae
Source: RefSeq, a predicted model, not a curated record